CCUAUACGCACUUACUGCGGCUUGCAAGUCAGACGUCAAACAACUUUGACACAAGGGCGAAUCGCGUAGUUGUGAUAAAUAGUUUCCUCAAGAAUCAUCCAACUGGGCAGUUGUUUGUUUUGUAACAUAACCUCAAAAUGUAUUAAAGCAAAAUGAAAAUCGAAAUUCUUGUGGUUUUAUGCGUGAUCUGUGUGUAUGUGAGUGCUAAAGACUUCGUGGUUGGUACAAGAACUAACAAUUUGCUAAUAUCCACAGAAAAGGUCAUAGUAAAAGGCUAUCCGUUUAUAAAGAGAGAUAAGGACUACAUUUAUACCGACUCGAAGCAAAAGAGUUAUCAAGGGAAUAAUAGCGAGGGACCUAUCACGCACAGAUGGCGAGGUGUCGGUGAAGAGCGGCGGCGUGGGCGCCUCUAACGUGACGCUGCACUUGCAGAGCGAGAGGGGAGAGGGGCUGAAUUACCUCAUACUUAUAUUUAGUGAUAAUAAGUGAUGUAAUUUGACGCGAAUAUUCAUUCACGCCUUGUUUGAUGCUCUUCGUGUUUAUCUAAAAUUUUUAUUUUAAAUAAAUGUUAAUGUAAUUAUC
RNAcentral lists this unclassified non-coding RNA (582 nucleotides) under Manduca sexta (tobacco hornworm). RNAcentral describes it as "uncharacterized LOC115445235, transcript variant X2". The record is from RNAcentral. Lineage: Eukaryota; Metazoa; Arthropoda; Insecta; Lepidoptera; Sphingidae.